This 478-nucleotide ribosomal RNA is filed under the name uncultured bacterium. Its description in RNAcentral is "partial 16S ribosomal RNA". It matches the Rfam family "Bacterial small subunit ribosomal RNA", at positions 28 to 523 of the family's 1533-position model. The record is from RNAcentral.
GACGAACGCUGGCGGCGUGCUUAACACAUGCAAGUCGAACGGUAAGGCCCUUCGGGGUACACGAGUGGCGAACGGGUGAGUAACACGUGGGUGAUCUGCCCUGCACUUCGGGAUAAGCCUGGGAAACUGGGUCUAAUACCGGAUAGGACUCCGGACUGCAUGGUCUGGGGUGGAAAGCUUUUGCGGUGUGGGAUGGGCCCGCGGCCUAUUAGCUUGUUGGUGGGGUGAUGGCCUACCAAGGCGACGACGGGUAGCCGGCCUGGGAGGGUGACCGGCCACGGUGGGGCUGAGAUACGGCCCAGACUCCUACGGGAGGCAGCAGUGGGGAAUUAUGCACAAUGGGCGGAAGCCUGAUGCGGCGGCGCCGCGUGAGGGAUGACGGCCUUCGGGUUGGAAACCUCUUUCAGCAUCGACGAAGCGAAAGUGACGGUAGGUGCAGAAGAAGGACCGGCCAACUACGUGCCAGCAGCCGCGGUAA